AAAGUCGUAACAAGGUCUCCGUAGGUGAACCUGCAGGAGGGAUCAUUACAGAGUUCAUGCCCUAACGGGUAGAUCUCCCACCCUAUGUUAUUAUUACUUUGAUUGCUUUGGGCAGGGGCCGUCAUGGCUCACGCCCGGCUUACCGGGCUCACGCUGGUAAGCGCCCGCCAGAGAACCCCAAACCCUGAAUAUUAGUGUCGUCUGAGUACUAUAUAAUAGUUAAAAAC
RNAcentral lists this unclassified non-coding RNA (227 nucleotides) under plant metagenome. RNAcentral describes it as "partial contains small subunit ribosomal RNA and internal transcribed spacer 1". The stretch from base 1 to 48 matches the Rfam family "Eukaryotic small subunit ribosomal RNA", at positions 1785 to 1831 of the family's 1831-position model. The record is from RNAcentral.